GGUUAAGUUAGAAAGGGCGCACGGUGGAUGCCUUGGCACUAGGAGCCGAUGAAGGACGGGACGAACACCGAUAUGCUUCGGGGAGCUGUAAGCAAGCUUUGAUCCGGAGAUUUCCGAAUGGGGAAACCCACCACUCGUAAUGGAGUGGUAUCCAUAUCUGAAUACAUAGGAUAUGAGAAGGCAGACCCGGGGAACUGAAACAUCUAAGUACCCGGAGGAAGAGAAAGCAAAUGCGAUUCCCUGAGUAGCGGCGAGCGAAACGGGACCAGCCCAAACCAAGAGGCUUGCCUCUUGGGGUUGUAGGACACUCUGUACGGAGUUACAAAGGAACGAGGUAGAUGAAGAGGUCUGGAAAGGCCCGCCAUAGGAGGUAACAGCCCUGUAGUCAAAACUUCGUUCUCUCCUGAGUGGAUCCUGAGUACGGCGGAACACGUGAAAUUCCGUCGGAAUCCGGUGAGGACCAUCUCCCAA
This 471-nucleotide ribosomal RNA is filed under the name Bacillus amyloliquefaciens. RNAcentral describes it as "partial 23S ribosomal RNA". It matches the Rfam family "Bacterial large subunit ribosomal RNA", at positions 1 to 463 of the family's 2925-position model. Lineage: Bacteria; Bacillati; Bacillota; Bacilli; Caryophanales; Bacillaceae. The record is from RNAcentral.